UACGAAGGGGGCUAGCGUUGUUCGGAUUUACUGGGCGUAAAGCGCGUGUAGGCGGGCUGGAAAGUUGGGGGUGAAAUCCCGAGGCUCAACCUCGAAACUGCCUCCAAAACUUCCAGUCUGGACUCAAGCAGAGGCAAGUGGAAUUGCGAGUGUAGAGGUGAAAUUCGUAGAUAUUCGCAGGAACACCAGUGGCGAAGGCGACUUGCUGGGCUUGUAGUGACGCUGAGACGCGAAAGCGUGGGGAGCAAACAGG
This 253-nucleotide ribosomal RNA is filed under the name uncultured bacterium. Its description in RNAcentral is "partial 16S ribosomal RNA". It matches the Rfam family "Bacterial small subunit ribosomal RNA", at positions 524 to 776 of the family's 1533-position model. The record is from RNAcentral.